AAUUAGUCCAACUAGGCAAAAAGAACUUUAGUCUAGCCUCCCGAACCUGGGCGAGCUACUUUAAGGCAGCUUUAUGAGCCAACCCGUCUCUGUUGCAAAAGAGUGGGACGAUCUUACAGUAGCGGUGACAGACCAAACGAGCCCAGUGAUAGCUGGUUGCUUUUUAAAGGGAUUUUAGUCCAACUUAAAGUUACUUUUAUAUACAAAAAUUUAUUACUUUAAGAUCACUCAAGUAAGGUUCAGCCUAUUUGAAAAAGGAUACAACCUCAACCACCGGGUAACUACGUCAUAAUAUGUUCAAGUAGGCUUAAAAGCAGCCAUCUUAACCAAAAGCGUCAAAGCUUAUACAUCUUUAGACAUAAUACCUCAAAUUUUUUAUAACCCUUCAUUUCUAAAAAGCAACUCUAUAUCUCUAUAGAAAAUUUUAUGUUAAAACUAGUAACAAGAAGCUCACCCUUCUCUUAAAUGUAAUUUUACAUCAGCAGGAUUAACCACUGAUAUUUAAC
RNAcentral lists this ribosomal RNA (506 nucleotides) under Mannophryne herminae (Hermina's poison frog). Its description in RNAcentral is "partial 16S ribosomal RNA". It matches the Rfam family "Bacterial large subunit ribosomal RNA", at positions 676 to 1384 of the family's 2925-position model. Lineage: Eukaryota; Metazoa; Chordata; Amphibia; Anura; Aromobatidae. The record is from RNAcentral.